This 31-nucleotide transfer RNA is filed under the name Eragrostis cilianensis (stink grass). RNAcentral describes it as "partial tRNA-Phe". The record is from RNAcentral. Lineage: Eukaryota; Viridiplantae; Streptophyta; Magnoliopsida; Poales; Poaceae.
GUCAGGAUAGCUCAGUGUAGAGCAGAGUUCA